CUUAGCGGCGUUUUUAAUGUAAUUAUGAUUAAAAAAAAAAAGAAAAUUAGCUAUUUUCAGAAGAGACGUUUCUUAAUCAAGUCUCAGAAGAGACGUCUCUUAUCCUUCAAUCUCCUCUCCUCUCUCGCCAAUCCUUCGAUCUCCUCUCCUUUCUCUCCAAUCCACAGUCUCAUCGGCAUCUUCAAACAACCGGCGAUGCCUCUCAAUUCCCGUUGAUACGAGUCCAUAGCCUUAGGUUUCUUCAAUUCCCGUUCUCCGAGUGUUGUCGUAAUCGGAGAUCAGAUCGACUUCCUGGUUGAAGGACGGCACUGUCUUAUGCUGAGAAGAGUAUCAGAGUAGAUGAGAGGCACAUACCCGCCUACAUAGUGAAGGAAAACUUCCUUUGACUAGCAAAACGACCAGAAGCUGCAGCGAUUGCCUUCAGGGCUGCCCAGAAUUUGAGGCUUAGUACAUUCUUAUUUGGCAUUUGGCAAAACCAAAGAAGCGUUGUAUACCUUGGAGCAGCCAUAGCUCUAGCUGACCUACAUCUAAUGGAAGGGAGGAAUGGAGAUGCUGUAUCACUACUUGAACGAUAUCUAAAAGACUGGGCUGAUGAAUCUCUCCAUGCCAAGCUAGCUCAAGUGUUUGCUGCAACGAAUAUGCUACAAGAUUCUUUAUCGCACUAUCAAGCUGCAUUAAGGAUAAAUCCACAGAAUGAGGCAGCCACAGCUGAUGGACCGAAACACAUAGAAACCACCCUAUCACUUUUCUGAUUGUUUUAAAAUAGCACAUGAUGGUUUCGUUAUCGUUCUACUCACCGUUCUUGUUAAGGCUGCUACCUUCCCACUGACCAAAAAGCAGGUCGAAUCUGCAAUGGCUGUGAAGUCUUUGCAGCCUCAAAUUAAGGCUAAUCAGGAACGGUAUGUUGGUGUCAGGUUAACCCAUUUUUCCUGAUGUCAUACUAAGUUUAUAGUUUGUAUCAAUCAAGUUGUUAGGUUUGAGUAAAUAGGUCUGAAGCUGCUUGUUUCAUCAUUAUGGACAGAUAAGUGUUGAGAAUGUUUAAUUUUUUUUUAAGAAACCUUAAUUAAGAAACUUGCAUUGGACAUAUAAAUGUUGUCGUCUCUUAGCGGAGUCUCUUAGCUCACAAUUACUAUUAAAAAAAAAUUAAGAGACCCUAAAUGGAUCUCUAGGUUAAUGAUGCUCUUACAGCACAUGAUUAAAAAAGCUUAGGAUUUAACUGGGUUAACCAUGAUUGCUCUUAUACGUGUCUUGGACUAAUUAUGAAAUAGCAUUUCAUUCUGAUAUAUAAGUUAUAUAAUAUAACACUGUAAAGCUCUAAACAUUUAAAUAGUAAAUAAAAACAUUUACACAAGGUACACUAUUAAGUAUCAAUUAUAUUUUUAUUAGGAAUUAGGUGACAUGACCAUAUGAAAAAAAAAAGAAACUAAGGAUCUAACUAUAACAUAAAUUGGCUAUGAUAUUAUAUUUUAUAUAACAACAAUUGACAAAAUACCCCUACAUGCACGUGUACAAACAGUAAAAGUUGUGUCUUCUCAUUCCCCUGUAAACUGAGAAGUCGUUUUUAAUUUUGAACUCUCUCCCCACAUGCGAAAAAGAAGUUAGAUUUUGAGAGAGAAAUUGCGAGUCUGAUAUGGAGAAUAUAAAAGGUGUAACUCUCACCCUCCCGGCGGUAGCCGUCUGUUUAUUGUGUGAUAUACAAAGUUAGGGUUACGGCAGCAGUUUGAAAGUGACGGUGGCACGGGCGAUCGAAGAGCGAACGGCAGUGCGGGCGAUCGAAAAGAAAACAGCGGCAAUCAAGAUAUGGUUGGAAGGGGAUAAUGGCGAAACAACGAGGCAUGUACUUUCCGCGAAAAGUUAAGCGUGUACCUUCAGACAUGAGUGCAUGAAUCAGUGUGCGCUGACAGAAGAGGCACUUGAAACUACAGCUAGGAUAUAUGCAAUUGAAGCCUUCUCCAUAUUUAACCCAGACCGACUCUUGUAAUAACCCAUUGCUGCUUUCCCCUUUGUUUAACUUUCUUCCGUUGAGACUUGGAACUUAUCCUUUUCCCUAAGCUCCCAUUUUGGACUUCUAUGCCCUGCGCAACUCUUUUAUUAUUUCGGAUUGUAUCUUAUUUUCAGUUUAACGCACCAUAUUUAUUUAUCCUUCGCUAUUACCAAAGCUUGAUGGUUUUAUAUGUUAGUACGACUUAACUUAAAUACUGAGACUAUUACAUUACUAA
Molecule: long non-coding RNA, 2219 nt
Organism: Brassica oleracea var. oleracea
Lineage: Eukaryota; Viridiplantae; Streptophyta; Magnoliopsida; Brassicales; Brassicaceae
Exons: 8
Source: RefSeq, a predicted model, not a curated record